CUUGCUCUGCACAUGGUGUGUGGGCUGGAUCUGGUACUGCAUGCAGCAAGGGGGGUUGGUCCCGGGCAUGUGGUGCCCCACUGGAACAGCUCUUCACGCCGGCUCCGGUGCACAUGGGCAGCCUGGACCCCCAAUCCAAAGAGACCCCAGAACUAGUGCACAUAGCUGGUGUGGAGCAGGCAUCACAUGUAACACAUGCCCCAUCAUAACCCCAUGCUGCGCAGAACCAGGUACAGCCUGCGUACGAUGUGCAAAGCAAACCCCAGGGCUGGCAAGUGCUGCAUGCAGUGUGCAGGCUGGACUCGGUGCCACAUACACUAGAUGCAUCAUAGAAGGUUGGUCCCUAUCCAGCCCACAGAACAGCCCCAAGUCCCUCAUCCAGCCCUGUGGGACCAGAUAAGUUUGACACCUUUGAUUUAUACCAAUAAAACAGAAGCCACAAUAGAUUUACAGAGUAGCUUCCCCUCUAGUUGCUAUUUCUCCACCCUACAUCUUAGCUUCAUGUAAGCACAAUCACAGUAUAAACACUAAUUUUGCCACAAAGUACUCUGAGAACACCACUACAUUAUCACUGCAAAGUUUGGCAUACAUCCUAUUCAAAACAGGAGAGCCAUUAAAAAUACGUGCACUACCAGAGAGCUGGAAUUUCUACCUCCAUUAAAAAUAGAAACCAACAGUUUUUGAAACAUCAGUGAAUUAUUUAUACACAGAUAAGUACAAGAUCUGAAUGGUUACAGAGUGCCUACCUGCAAGUAACCACAAACCAAACUGGAUUAGAUCGUGCUCCUGACAACAUGAAUGAUUUUGCAGGGGAACAUAAAACAUAUGGUGGUACUAGCUGCUUCCAUAUUCUGCAAUACCUUUUUCCCCCAAGGGUAAAAGGAUUGAGCAGAUUACAUCAUUAAAUACAUUUAGGGAACUUUAGCUAUCUAGGUUAUGGGUACAGAAAACACUGGUCAAAAAUCUAAAAAGGUUUCUCUUUGCACCAUCCGUCUGUAGUUUAUUCUAAUACAAGAGACAUGACAUUAACAAAUAAAGUGACAUUAACAGUCAGGCUCUUCCAAAUGUGAUUAAGUAGAAGUUUAAACAAUUUAAUACCAAGGAACAAAUAGCUACUUAACUUUUAAUUAAAUUAAUGUAGGCAACAUACUACUGAGAAAGGAUGCUUCUUUAAAAAGGACUGAGACUUAAAUUACACAGAACAAUAUUUGCACACAAAAUAAGAAGGCAUAAAUGCUGCAAUUGAAUUCUUUGAUACAAGUGAAAAUGUGUAGAUACAAAUAGAACAAGUUA
Gavialis gangeticus (Gharial) is the source of this 1293-nucleotide long non-coding RNA. RefSeq lists it as uncharacterized. The record is from RefSeq and is a predicted model, not a curated record. The transcript has 2 exons. Lineage: Eukaryota; Metazoa; Chordata; Crocodylia; Gavialidae.